UGAUUUUCAUUACUUCUUACAAAUUUUCAAGAUAUGUUUAAGUACAAGUUUCAUAUUUAUUGUCGCAAUAUCUAAAUCCAAAAUCAUUUCACUCAAACAAAUAUUAAAAAAAUAAAUAAAUAUGUCGCGGUUAAUCAAAUACGUCAUCAUUCUCUAGCAGCUCAUUUUGUUCUGAGGAAUCAAUAUUUACACAACCAAAACUUUCUAUUUCUUUCAAAAUGCCAUCCAGAACAGUCAAUUGCUCCGCUACUCUUUCUUCCAAGCCUUUAGAGGUCUGGAAAAUAGAGGGAUCUCUUGGAGGAAGAGGAGGUGGACUCUGAUCCGGUUUUUCAAACCCUCUUUUAUAAGGAUCUCUACCUGGAAUUAACGACACGGUUCUUUUUGGUACCUCUGGUGGUUCAUGAUCCUCUUGAAAUUCAUUUAAGGAGGUCAAACUAUUCCCAGAAUUACUUUUGGAUUUACUACUAGAGACGCCCAACGAAUUCCUCAAUUUGUGAUUGGAAGGCAUUUUAAUCUUAUCUUCGUUUGAACUUCUCAAUUGAAUAAACAUAAGUUUAUCUGAAUUACUUGAAGGAGCAGUAUAUUCGAACACAUUGAUAGAAUUAAAGGAAAAAGUCAAUAACACGGAAAAUACGAGGAAAUAAAUACCGGAUUUCAAACACAUCAAUAUACCCAUAGUUAACAAAAAUGACAAAUUAUAUAUUCCUGUAAAACUCAAUCAUAAAAUAUAAAUAACUUAAACAACUUCAGAAAUGAAUCAUCUCAAUAUUCUCAGCGAAGCUUUCCUCAACCAUGAAAUGAUAAGUUAACUAUUUUCAAUUUUCUAUUACAAAUUUAAUGGCGGCUUAUUCAGGCGAAGGCAAUUCCAAACCAUCCAGUAAACAGAAUGCAACCGUAUUAAAGGUUUCCUUUCCCAUAAAAUAAUUUAAAUUAUCAAACAUAUAUUUGCUCAUUUUUAUUUCAAACCCAUUUUUGUGGGCUUGUUAAUUUCUCCCAGCAAAAGAAAAAGCUUUUAUAGCACUUUCUAUAACUCAUGGUAUCACAGCACAUACUGGAAUAGGCGCAAAAACAAUACGGAAAAGAUUACAAGUCUUUUCUAAGCACUUUAUUCGAAACAAUACUUUAACACACUUUAAAAUUGAAUCAGGUCUGUAGCCACGAACAAUUCGAUUAUCUUUGGUCAAUAAUACCGAUGCAAUGCCACACUGUAAACCAAGAUGAAUCCUGAGGCAAUCUGUGUUAAUUAAUAUUUUGUCAGAAUAUUAAUUUAACAGUGAAUCUAACUUUUCUAAACUAAUGAUAAUAAAACUCUAUUUAACAUUCCACUUGUAAAACCAUGUAAUAAUUCACCUUCGAAAACAUCUGAUCCAAUUUAACAUUGAUAUUACUUUCUUAAUCUAAAACCAACUGGUAAGUGAGGCUUUUGAGGGGGGCGGCUACCAUCGCCGCAAUCAUCUUGAUGAUGAUGAUGGUGAUGGUGAUGGUGUUGGUGUUGGUGUUGGUGUUGGUGUUGGUGAUGAUGAUGAUGAUGAUGAUGACUAGCCCUAUUGUGAUUCUCAUUAUUUAGAGGCAAUCUCCAAUUGGCAGGUAAAGGUGGUUUUUUAGGCGCGCCAUCCUCAGAAUCUUCUACAUUGCCAUCUGAAACAUUAUCAUAAAGUGAAGGGACACGUAGGGGAGGGGGUGAAACAGUACUGCCUGGCCUCCCACCAAGAUGACCGUCCGUACUAGAAGGCUCUUUAGAUCCAUUUCCAGUGCAUUUUCCAAGGUUGCUACCUGGAAUAGUUUCAUCACACGGUAGGGAUAAGGGAAAAGAAGGGGUUUGUGAUUGAGAACCCCCAGAUGGUCCCUUUUUUACACGGACUUUAGGUGGAAGCGGAGGCGGAAGUGGAGAUGGAGGUGGAGAUGGAGGUGGAAAUGGAGAUGGAGGUGCAGUGGUGGAUUGAGUUUUGGAAAUGAUAGGGGAGCUGAUUCUCAAGCCAUCAACGGUUGGCCCAAGGGUCGGAUGCAGCCGCCCUUCUCCAUAAUCACCAGACCCAAGACAAAAUAGUUUCCUAAAUCCACAGCCACCAGCGCUUCUCAGUCCAAUAAUAGAAAACCCAUAAAGUAGGCUUAAGCGAUCGCCGUUUUCCGACAGUUGGAGAAACACAUUUAAUAUAAUGAAAAAAACAAGUAAAGAUUGCUUUGUACACAUCAAAUUAUUAUAUCUUUCAACACAUAUAGAUUAUCUGGCCUGUUGCUUAAAUUACUGAAAUAACCAUCAAUAAAUUGAAAUUACUUCCUUUUUUAAUAUUUAAAUUAAACAAGACACUCCCGCCUGUAAUGCUAAAAUAAUCCAUUAAAAUAUAUAUGGCGUAUACUUAUUUAAGCAUAAUUUCUAAUCUAAAAAUAUCAUUUCUCGCGUAUAGUGGACAAUAGUGAAACUAGAUUUAGAUGAAUUUUGGAAAAAAAAAAUAAACCAAC
This 2460-nucleotide non-coding RNA is filed under the name Cryptosporidium parvum. Lineage: Eukaryota; Apicomplexa; Conoidasida; Eucoccidiorida; Cryptosporidiidae. The record is from RNAcentral.